RNAcentral lists this long non-coding RNA (471 nucleotides) under Brachypodium distachyon (stiff brome). Its description in RNAcentral is "long non-coding RNA (BDIS_LNC005702)". The record is from RNAcentral. Lineage: Eukaryota; Viridiplantae; Streptophyta; Magnoliopsida; Poales; Poaceae.
GUACUGUUGUUUGUGGUCUCGGAUUACAGCCCCGUGGGCCCGGCUAUGCGCUGGCCUAAUAGGUAGUAGGCUGCUCCCGGGUUCUCAUCGCUGCGCCCGAACCCGAAACGCUCAGUUGACCCGGAUAGGCUUAAAAACUUUUUUUUUCUCCUUUAUAAUGAAAACAACAUGCAAUAAGUUUUUAAAAAAAAAAUCAAAAAAAGGUGAUGGUGGUGAAGGUGUAGUCAAGCUCCCAGAUCUCUUCGACCUUGCCAUAAUACGCUUCAGUCUGGCCUUCGCUGUCGGUCCCCGUCUCAGCAACGAGCACUAUACCGUUGUUUUGGUACGUACUCUUACGGUCUUGAGCCUUGGUGUAGUACGUAUACUCAUUCAUUGCUUACGACUGGUAUGUCAUGACGUUGCGGUCGGGAAGCCGUGACAACUUCUGUACAAUCUUCUCAUCUUCAUUCGCCGCAGCCCUCGGAUACCAAA